This 292-nucleotide ribosomal RNA is filed under the name uncultured bacterium. Its description in RNAcentral is "partial 16S ribosomal RNA". It matches the Rfam family "Bacterial small subunit ribosomal RNA", at positions 505 to 796 of the family's 1533-position model. The record is from RNAcentral.
GUUCCAGCCGCCGCGGUAAUACGGGGGGUGCAAGCGUUGUUCGGAAUUAUUGGGCGUAAAGAGCGUGUAGGCGGCCGGAUGUGUCAGAUGUGAAAGCCCUGGGCUCAACCCAGGAAGUGCAUUUGAAACUAUCCGGCUUGAGUAGGGGAGAGGGAAGUGGAAUUCCUGGUGUAGAGGUGAAAUUCGUAGAUAUCAGGAGGAACACCGGUGGCGAAGGCGACUUCCUGGCCCUAUACUGACGCUGAGACGCGAGAGCGUGGGUAGCAAACAGGAUUAGAUACCCGCGUAGUCC